Molecule: long non-coding RNA, 1317 nt
Filed under: Leptinotarsa decemlineata (Colorado potato beetle)
Lineage: Eukaryota; Metazoa; Arthropoda; Insecta; Coleoptera; Chrysomelidae
Description: uncharacterized LOC111512687, transcript variant X2
Source: RNAcentral
UUAUAAUUUCUAGCAAAUCAACUGUAAUAUAAAAAAAGAAAAAAACACGACUGGACAAAUGAGAUUCAUUGAGGGGUGGCAGAUAACAAUUUCGGCAUUUCUGCAACUUUGGGAAAACCUACAUAGUGAAAGACACUCCUAUAUUGACAAGGAAUAUAAAUCAGGACUGUGGAAAAUUAUUUUGAUCAACUUAGAAAUACUUGUGGAAAUGCCAGAAACCCAACUCCUAUUCAAAUUACCAGAGCUUUCAAAAACACAUUUACUCUUCAGUAUUUCACACAGGCAGAAGGAACUAACUGUCUAGAAGAUAUUAGUGAGAUUCUAUGUAGUAUUACAGAUGCAGACAUAAAUAGAAGGAAGUUUCUUGUGGAAGUCCAAAAAAUCCCUAUAAAAAACUUUGAGAGUAGGGACAAAUGAUUAUAGAACUCUAGCCACUCCAGAAGGCAACAGGUUGGGCUAUGUUUGUGGAUAUUUUUUGAGAAAAUGUUUAAGAAAACAUUCAUGAGAAGAUAGUAUAAAUUUUGUCACGGCAGCUAGUACGACACUGAAUGAAACAAAUUUAAAAUGCCUGGUCGUAUUUGUGCAGUGUCAACUUGCAAAAGAAAUCAGUUGACUUUAAAGAAAAGUGGUGUUACUGAUGUAAUAUUUCACUAUUUUCCUUUUUGCACAACUUUGCAAAAAGAAUGGAUUCGUCGCUGCAAAAGAGGGGAUACAUUCAUUCUCAAAAAUGGAUUUGUUUGUUCCAAAUAUUUUGCAGAAAAUGAUUAUGAACGAUACCUUGAAAAUGAAUUGUUUGCCUUUGCGUCGUAAAUGAAAAAAACUGCAGUACCUAGUGUUAACCUAAGUUAUCCAACAAUUGAUAAAGAGAGGGAAGUUUUACAGAAUACAAGUCGCAAUAUUAGAGCCUUACAGAAAAAACACAGUGAAACUAUCAGUAUGUUACUUGAAUCAAAUUUGGAUAAUUUUAAACCAUCCACAUCUUAAAGUUGCUCUUUUCCUCAUAAUAUUGUAUCUCCUCAACCUCAAGCUGAUCAACAAAAUAUCCAAGGAGAAUAAUAAAAAAUAAAAACCGUAUCAUGUAUUUUCUGUCAGAUAAAUAAAAAAAGUUGUUACACCUAUAAACAAUUUAUUACUUAUAUAUAUUUUUGAUUAUUGAGCGUUUAUUAUAAAAGAUGGAACAAAAAGUUAUACAUUUUUUUUAGAUAAUGCUAUUAUUUAAAACAAAGUUCAUUACAAAAUUUUUAUGGGAGUUACAGUUUUCACGAAAAUAAUAAAAACUGAUGACACCUCUUACUUUUAAAAAGGGAAAAAUGGCUC